CACCACUCAAGCCUCGCUUGGUAUUGGGCGCCGCGGCCUCGUCCGCGCGCCUCGAAAUCUCCGGCUGAGCCGUCCGUCUCCCCGCGUUGUGACUAUAUGUUUCGCGACGGAGCACGGGCGACCCCGGCCGUUAAAUCUCAUCAAA
RNAcentral lists this unclassified non-coding RNA (145 nucleotides) under uncultured Mycosphaerellaceae. RNAcentral describes it as "sequence contains ITS2". Lineage: Eukaryota; Fungi; Ascomycota; Dothideomycetes; Mycosphaerellales; Mycosphaerellaceae. RNAcentral also lists the same sequence under 1 other name. The record is from RNAcentral.